Molecule: long non-coding RNA, 1761 nt
Organism: Daphnia pulex (common water flea)
Lineage: Eukaryota; Metazoa; Arthropoda; Branchiopoda; Diplostraca; Daphniidae
Exons: 6
Source: RefSeq, a predicted model, not a curated record
AUCGAAGGUCAUGGAGAUCAUUAAGUAAAAAGUGUCAUGCAGUGGUGUAGAGGUUGGGUGAGAACGGGACAUUUUGUAUCAUUUUAUCAAGAAGGUAAAAUAACCGCAAGGCAUAAGAGGAGGGGUGAGAAAAAGUCGUAUAAAAGGCGAGAGAAAAGUCGACAGGGAUCAGUCGAGCGAGUAUCUCCGACACGGUAACAGCUGCAUUCCACUAUCUGCCAUCAGCUGCAUUCUUCAUCGUACUAUCAGUUCUCAAUCAUGGUAAACUAUGCUGUCGUGCUGUUGUUGGGUGUUGUGUCGUUGAUGGCUGGUUCAGCCACUGGCGUACCGAUGUAUCCUGGGUAUGGCGGAUACCAAAGCACUACACUGCCGCCUUAGUACACAACUUACGACACAACCAGUUGCUACACCGAUCCCCCCAAGUACUUCACCACCAUGCUGCCCCGAGCUACUACACCGAAUCCCCGCAGUAUUAUUCUUCUCCGAGCUACACUACUAAAGGGUAGAGUACUACACCGAGGCUCCCCAACACUACAUCACCAAGGCACCGGAGUACUACACCACUACAUAUCAUGGUAAUGAAGGAGAGAAAAGGUGAAAGAUUUCAGCAGCCGAUUGAGCAUCUCCGUUACGGCAACAGGAACUGCCGUGCACUAUUUGUCAUCAACUUCAUUCUUCGUCGCAUUAAAAGUUUUAAAUAAAGUAAACUAUGGUGUCGUGCUGCUGUUGGGUGUUGUAUCGUUGAUGGGUGGUUCAGCCAUGGUGUACCGAUGUCUCCUGGGUAUGGCGGGUACUAUAGCACAACACUGCCGUGCCGUCUAACUAAUUAGCAUCAACUUCCGCUGCUCCAGCUUACUACACUGAGGUUUACAAGUGCUACACCACCAUGGAUCCAGAGUUUUACACCACAGCUCAUGUUGCCCCGACCUACUACGCUGAAUGCCCGAAGUAUUUUUCUUCCCCGAGCUACACUACCAAAGGGUCGAGAACUACGUCGAGGUUCCAAGUAUUACAUCACCAAGGCACCGGAGCACAAAAACGGUUGAAUACUACACAGAAGCUAUCAUGGGAAACUAUGGUGUCGUGCUGCUGUGAGUGUUGUAAUCAUGAUGGCUGGAUUGACCACUGGUGUGCCGAUAUCUCCUGGGUAUGGUGGGCAUCAACAACAACAUACGCAACAACCGCUUACUACACUGGGACCUGCAAGUGCCAAACCACCAAGGCUUCAGAGUAUUACACCACAGUUUAUGUUGGCACGAGCUACUACGCAGAAGCUCCGGAAUAAUUUUCUUCCCCGCUUCACUACCUUCACCACGCCGCCUCCUUACUCAACAACAACAACAACGUCAACACCUACUUACUAAACGAACGCCUCCAACUACCACACCGAGGGUCAACCUGUUACACCGCCGAAGCGCUCAAGUACUGCACUACAACCUACAUUUCACGAAGACACCGUAGUACUCCAUCACGAAGGCACCGGCACGUUAAACCGAGGCUCCAGUUUACUACACUGUAACCUACGCUGCUCCAAAGUACUACACCGACAAGGCAUCCGAGUAUGACACCACUACUUACGCUACUACCACCUACUACACCCAAGCUCCGAAAGCACUACUCUGCCCCGAGUUACUACACCACUAAGGCAGCCGAAUAUUACACCACAAACUACGAUUCCGCAAUUCGGUCACUUUCAUGGUCAUUGGUCACUGGAAAUUAAUUGUUGAUCUUUGAUGAGAAAAUAAAGUUUUAAUGCUGGUA